This 253-nucleotide ribosomal RNA is filed under the name uncultured bacterium. RNAcentral describes it as "partial 16S ribosomal RNA". It matches the Rfam family "Bacterial small subunit ribosomal RNA", at positions 524 to 776 of the family's 1533-position model. The record is from RNAcentral.
UACGUAGGUGGCAAGCGUUGUCCGGAUUUACUGGGCGUAAAGAGCGCGCAGGCGGUCGGGUAAGCCGGAUGUGAAAGCCCCUGGCUCAACUGGGGAGGGUCAUUCGAUACUGCUCGACUCGAAGGCAGGAGAGGGAAGUGGAAUUCCCGGUGUAGUGGUGAAAUGCGUAGAUAUCGGGAGGAACACCAGUGGCGAAGGCGACUUUCUGGCCUGUUCUUGACGCUGAGGCGCGAAAGCUAGGGGAGCAAACGGG